GCCAGGGUUGGCCAGGACCUGGCCUGCGUAGGGACUCUCGCUCCAGUCGGGUCCGAGGUUGGUGAGCACUUCGCCCGCGGGAGAUCAAGCUCAGGCCUCCCGGUACUAGUGGUUAUAAAGAGUACCCAUCUGCUCCCUGCCACCUCCGCCAAAGACGGGCUAAAGGAAGAGAAAAAGCAAACACCAGGAGCCGCGGCAGGUGUGCCACGUGUCCAAAUCAUUUGCGUCACAAUGACCUGGCCUACAGGUGGGAGCAGCAGCGAACGCCCCGGGGUGCCCACUGUGCUGUGCUUAGCGCGUGCUGCUUGCUUCCACUGCAGACUGCCGUGGCUUUAGAGGACAGGAGACUUCAUGACUUCAAUGCCAAGGAAAGUUACAGAGCACUGUACCUGGGAAUCAAGUUUGGGCUUAAAGUAAAGAGGCUCUGUGGAAAAAAAAAAAAAAACUGUAUACGUAUUUUUCAUUCCCAUAUAUUCAUAUAUCUUUUAUACUUAAGUUACUGACGCUUAUAGUAAUUUCAUCUUCUCUUAUUCUUUGUUAUCAGGAAAGAACCAAACACUUCUUUUUUGAGUACCCUGCAGUGAUCACAUGAAGAAAUGGUGUUGGAAUAGUUCCUUCUUAAAAUCAUCUACGUUGAAAAGCAGUCGCAAUGUGCUAUGACUCAUCCCUGAUUGUGUUAUAUAUUUAUUAAAAAGUUCAUUGAAUAGUCA
This is a long non-coding RNA of Globicephala melas (long-finned pilot whale), 710 nucleotides long. RefSeq lists it as uncharacterized. NCBI's taxonomy places the organism in Eukaryota, Metazoa, Chordata, Mammalia, Artiodactyla, Delphinidae. The record is from RefSeq and is a predicted model, not a curated record.